RNAcentral lists this ribosomal RNA (439 nucleotides) under uncultured bacterium. RNAcentral's name for it is "partial 16S ribosomal RNA". It matches the Rfam family "Bacterial small subunit ribosomal RNA", at positions 339 to 795 of the family's 1533-position model. The record is from RNAcentral.
CUACGGGACGCACCAGUGAGGAAUAUUGCACAAUGGGGGGAACCCUGAUGCAGCAACGCCGCGUGGAGGAUGACGCAUUUCGGUGUGUAAACUCCUUUUAUAUGUCAAGAAAAUGACGGUAGCAUAUGAAUAAGCGCCGGCUAACUCCGUGCCAGCAGCCGCGGUAAUACGGAGGGCGCAAGCGUUACUCGGAAUCACUGGGCGUAAAGGACGCGUAGGCGGGUUGAAAAGUCAGGUGUGAAAGCCUACAGCUUAACUGUAGAACUGCACUUGAAACUCUCAAUCUAGAGUAUGGGAGGGGCAGAUGGAAUUAGUGGUGUAGGGGUAAUAUCCGUAGAUAUCACUAGGAAUACCUAAAGCGAAGGCAAUCUGCUGGAACAUUACUGACGCUAAGGCGUGAAAGCGUGGGGAGCAAACAGGAUUAGAUACCCUCGUAGUC